UAGUGAGUUUGAUCCUGGCUCAGAUUGAACGCUGGCGGCAUGCCUAACACAUGCAAGUCGAACGAGACCUUCGGGUCUAGUGGCGCACGGGUGCGUAACGCGUGGGAAUCUGCCCUUGGGUUCGGAAUAACAGUUAGAAAUGACUGCUAAUACCGGAUGAUGUCUUCGGACCAAAGAUUUAUCGCCCAAGGAUGAGCCCGCGUAGGAUUAGCUUGUUGGUGAGGUAAAGGCUCACCAAGGCAUCGAUCAGUAGCUGGUCUGAGAGGACGAUCAGCCACACUGGGACUGAGACACGGCCAGACUCCGUACGGGAGGCAGCAGUGGGGAAUUUCCGCAAUGGGGCGAAAGCCUGACGGAGCAAGACCGCGUGA
This 371-nucleotide ribosomal RNA is filed under the name uncultured Sphingomonadaceae bacterium. Its description in RNAcentral is "bacterial SSU rRNA". It matches the Rfam family "Bacterial small subunit ribosomal RNA", at positions 1 to 404 of the family's 1533-position model. The record is from RNAcentral. Lineage: Bacteria; Pseudomonadati; Pseudomonadota; Alphaproteobacteria; Sphingomonadales; Sphingomonadaceae.